CUAUACGUUUCAUAACUUCAGACAAACCAGAAUACUAAGGCCUGAGGUUCUCAUUUGGCCUGUUUGCCAAGGAGUGAAGGCGAUAAAGUCCGAGCAUAACAUAGAACAAAUCCCCUUCGGCCAAUUGGAGUCACGUCGGUGUCGGUCAACUGCUAACUUUAUUUUUUCUUGAGCACGGAUGAGAUGAGCUUUUUGUACAUCUAACAUAUCAUCUCUGUCCCACAACUGUUGUUCCACCUAAUGUGUGGCGGUGGUUUGGCUGCCAUAACGGGUUAGAGGGUGAGGGUCUCUUCCAUAAAUUGCUUGAAAUAGAGUAGCGUUUAUAGAUGCAUGGAAAUAGUUAUAUACCAGUACUCCGCCCAAGGCACUCAUGUGGACUAGCUUCAGGGUUUGUCAAAAGAGAAAUAUCAGAGAAAUGUUUUUGGGCAUCUAUUAAUUACCUCUGUUUGUCCAUCUGUCUAAGGGUGAUAGGCCGUACUUCUAUAGAGGUAUGUUCCCUGCAGGCAAAAGAGUUCUAUCCAAGAAAUGGCUCAAGAAGAUUUUGUCCUUGCUAUUGAGCUGGGAAUGCCAUGGAGCCGUACUUUCUCUUUGACAAAAAGGGCUACCACUCCUGAUCAUGUGAACGGAUGGUUAAGUGGGAUUAAGUGUGCAUAUUUACUUAAGCGAUCAACUACCACCAACAAUGAAUCAAAUCUCCCAGACUUCGGUAAACCUUCAAUAAAAUCCAUUGACUUCGGUAUUGUUAGGCCUCCAAUACGUUCACCUAUUCUAGAAGGGUCAAGAAGAACGGAGAAUCAGCUGGAGAGUAACUAAUUUAUGUUUUAAAGGCAAGUGGGUAAACUAAAUCAGUUAGGGAAAUGUCAUAAAUAGACGUGGGAAGAAAGGGAGAGGCAAGCAAAUUAAUAGAGAGUGAGAGGGCAAUUAGUUGAUAGUCACAAGCCUUUAAUAAGAAUCUGUUAUCAUUCCUUUUGUAUGAGAUCCAUCCCGUUGUCCGCCUUCUUUUGUGCCAUCUUUUGUGCCAUCAGGAGAACCGCUCAGAUACCAAUUUGAUAGGUUCCUACUGGAUAAAUUUAGAAUAGAAUAUAUGAAUAAACAAACUUUGAUUCAAUACUGGGAAAGAUUACAGAAAAAAGGAAUGAUAACAGAUGCCUUCUUUCAUCUUAGGUUAAGGUGUUUAAUACUUUAUUGGCUAAUAUAUCGUUUCUAUAAACUUGGUGCCAAUCCUCUAUUAUCAUCUAACUGCCCUCUCACUCUAUCAAUUUGCCUGCCUCUCCCCUUCUUCUCACGUCUAUUUAUGACAUUUCCCUAACUGAUUUAGUUUUCCCACUUGCCUUUAAAACAGAAAUUAGUUAUUCUCCAGCUGCUUCCCCAUUCUUCUUGAUCCUUCUAGAAUAGGUGAACCGUAACAGCCUCUAAUACAUGAAGAGAUAAAUGGGAGCUCCCUGAGACAUCCCCAUCAUGUUUAUAGAUAUUUUGGCAUAAGAAAGACCUAUAAUGCAGCAACAAUAUUGCCUUAAUCAAGUGUAGUAAAUUUUUCCACUAGGAAAAUGAAAAAGGUUGUCGUAUUAGACAUGUACCGAGGAAGGAGUACUUUGCCUAGGUGCAGACUAGCUAGUCGGCCGUGAGCAAAAUGAAUCUAUACAACAUUUUUGAUUGCUUGAGCCUGAGGGAGUGGGCUGUUUCUGUGCCAUAUUUGGAUUUAGUUUCAAUAAAUAUGUGCAUUUGAUCACGUGUUUAUCAACAGGAACAGUGUAUCCUUCUCCCCCUUCUCUCCUCUUUCUUGCUGUUCAGCAUUGGGGAUAUUGAGUUUGUAAAUCUUGUUUGAUAGCUAAACUUUAUAGAGUGGUUGUUUCUGCUGCAUAAUGUUCUCUCUCUCUCUCUCUCUCUCUCUCUGUG
This 1896-nucleotide long non-coding RNA is filed under the name Olea europaea subsp. europaea. The record is from RNAcentral. Lineage: Eukaryota; Viridiplantae; Streptophyta; Magnoliopsida; Lamiales; Oleaceae.